Alligator mississippiensis (American alligator) is the source of this 1657-nucleotide long non-coding RNA. RefSeq lists it as uncharacterized. The transcript is spliced from 3 exons. The record is from RefSeq and is a predicted model, not a curated record. Lineage: Eukaryota; Metazoa; Chordata; Crocodylia; Alligatoridae.
UCUGUUCAUUAUCACUGGUCUCUUUAACCCCACAAAUAGGAAGGAUGACCUUGCACUCUCACCUCUUCCUCUAAUUAUAAUUACAGUAAUUUGGAUAGGUGUUGUUUCUUCCUCUUUCCCUUAGUAAAUUUGGGUGUGUUCUCUCCAGCCAUACUCUGGAUCUCCUUUCAGUCUUACUCCCUAUUAUAAAGCAGAAAAGAAAAUAGAGGGAAUGGAUUUCAGGUGGGAGAGAUUUCCUUUGUCGUCUUUUCCUACUUCCUCACUUUGUCAUCCUUUCUCCAUCUGCAGACUUCAUUCUGUCUCUUAGGAUGCCACCAGGUAAUGUUCUCAUCCAAAGAGAAAAUCGAGUAACCUUUCCCUCCCUCAUUCCCAAAACAAGCUCCUCCAAUUAUUUCUGUUCCUCCAGCACACACAACACCUGAGUUACACACCCCACCCACUACCAAUUAAUUCUUUUCUUCUGGGCAUAACCCUUCGGUUACCUAUAUUAUGUGUCCACUCUUCCCGCAAAUACUUCUAUUCCUCCCAAUGCAUGUCCUCUAAUUAACUCUAUAAACACCAUAAAGAGGCUUCUUAAUCUUAUUCCUUACCCAGAAUGAAUCCUAUCAUCCACACAGCCCCCGUUAACUCUGCUUUCCCCCAUUCCUCCAAGCCAGGCUACUUCUGUCCUCAGAAAUACUUAUUUGCAGUCUGUGGGCUCAUUCUGCUCCUUCACUGACCCCUGUUUUAAGCUGUACUGGACUGAUUUGCUUUGCAAUCCCUGUCAGCUGUACAAUCAGCUGCCCUACCUGAGAUUUUUGGAAGCAGGAGAAGCAGCAGUGGCAGGAUCUUCAUUUCCUUUUCAUAAAGGUAGGGAGUGAACACAAAAUCAAAGGCCUUUUAAUCCCACUUUUGUAAGAGUGGGUGGAAGGAACUGCAGUACCACAAGGGUACUGCCUCUCCCUAAUGUGCUCAUUGGGCAUUUAGACAUCUGGAAGUGUGGGGCAGAGGGGCCAGCACUUUAAUUAAAGUGCCCAGAGGGUCUCGUGUAUCAGCAUCCCCAGUGUUCAAAAUGGCAGCGGAGGCAGUUUCUCUAAAGCUUGUUCAACUAAAGCUGUGCAUCCCACAGUGCCAGGGGAGCCUGCAGCAUGGUGCGACAUGGGAGUUGAGGUGGGGCUUCCUGUGCACUCAGUGCAGUGAUGUGUGUGUUGGAUGGCUGCCCUUCUGUGUGGUGCAGUGGGGGAAACGGGGUGCAUCUCAGGGUCUUGUGUCUCACACUGGUAUGGCCCCCAGGGGAUUUAUGAAAUGCUACAAAGUAGAUCAUAUGCUAUAUGAUUUACUUUGUAAUUGUAUCAUUUUCUGUGUGGCCCCUGCAGGCAUAAAGCCCUAGGCCAGUGAGAAGUUGGACAGCCCUUAUCUGGAAAAUGAGGAGGACUUUGAUCAGAACAAGCCUUAGGUGGAUUGACUUGUAAAAUUUUUUAUGAAGGAGCUGAGAGCAUGGAUUUAUGAUGGGUGAGCCCUCAUCUAAUAAGAGGGAGUGCAGUUUUCUUACCAUGCAAAGAAGAAGGCAAAGGCCUUUAUUCUGGAUAGAAGUUGCAUGCUUGCAGGACUCUCCAUGAGUAAUGUAAGAAAGGUAAGCUGCAGAUGCCUAUGGAACCCAAAUAAUGGCAAGCAGUUU